This 1347-nucleotide long non-coding RNA is filed under the name Monodelphis domestica (gray short-tailed opossum). Its description in RNAcentral is "lncRNA (ENSMODG00000050190.1)". The record is from RNAcentral. Lineage: Eukaryota; Metazoa; Chordata; Mammalia; Didelphimorphia; Didelphidae.
CUUUUUUUUUCCUUCCUUCCUUCCUUCCUUCCUUCCUUCCUUCCUUCCUUCCUUCCUUCCUUCCUUCCUUCCUUCCUUCCUUCCUUCCUUCCUUUCUUCCUUUCUUUCUUCCUUUCUUUCUUCCUUUCUUUCUUCCUUUCUUUCUUUCUUUCUUUCUUUCUUUCUUUCUUUCUUUCUUUCUUUCUUUCUUUCUUUCUUUCUUUCUUUCUUUCUUUCUUUCUUUCUUUCUUUCUUUCUUUCUUUCUUUCUUUCUUUCCUCCUUCCUUCCUUCCUUCCUUCCUUCCUUCCUUCCUUCCUUCCUUCCUUCCUUCCUUCCUCCCUCCCUCCCUUUCUUUCCUAUCUCUGAAUCAAUCCUGUGUAUUGGUUCCAAAAGGCUAGGCAAUGGGGGUUAAAUGAUUUGCCCAGGGUCACACAGCUGGGAAAUAUCUGAGAUCACAUUUGAACCUAGAACCUUCUGUCUCUAGACCUGCCUCUCUAGCCACCUUGCCACCCAGCUGAAGGGCAUCUAGCUCUUAAAAUGGAUAAAGCAACAGGUCUGGAGUCAGGAAGACCUGAGUUCAGACACUUCCUAGCUGUAUGACCCUGGGCAAGUCACUUCACCCUCUUUGCCUCAAUUUCCUCAUCUAUCAAAUGAGCUAGAAAAGAAAAUUGCAAACCACUCCAGUAUUUUGCCAAGAAAUUCCCCAGGAGGCCCAUGAAGAGUUGGGCAUGACUGAAAAAAUGACAAAAACCCAACAACAACAGGCAGGUAAGAUAUUCACUGUAUUUUACCCACCAGGAAACUCAAGUUCAGAAUGGCUUGCCUUCAGUUCCCACAGCUAGUAAGGGUUCCAGGAGGGCUUUAAAUCCAGGCCUCUCUUUGCUCACUCCAAGCCUGGGACUCUUUCCAGGACUCUAGACUGCUUCUCCCAAAGGGGUGAGCAGUUGCUGAGAAGGGGUGGUGGUUGGGAGGUAGGGAGAGGGCAAGAAUAGUUAAAAAACAAAUCUGAGACAGGAAAAGGUGGGCAUCCACUGACGAGAGCGUAGCCUUGGCUCCGCGGAGGCGGGAAGGACACGAAGGGCAGCGGAGUAACAUGGAGUCUGGAAACUAAGUAAGGCGUUUGGCUCUGCUGCGAGGCUAGAUCCUGAACCGGGAACGGAGGCGCUCCCUCCUCCGAAGUGAGCCCGAGGUCUUGGCUCAGGAGCACCCCGGGGCAGUUGCUAGGGCGACUGGUCCCGUUUGCCCCACCGGCUUCCCUACAUGGGCUGCUCUGAUUCCCAGAAGCCCCCACAGCCUCCUCAGGUCCACCCCACACAGUCAAUGACAGCGGAGCCAUCUCGGGAAUAAACACCAUAUAAGAGCAACCA